RNAcentral lists this long non-coding RNA (2833 nucleotides) under Canis lupus familiaris (dog). RNAcentral's name for it is "lncRNA (ENSCAFG00000054100.1)". The record is from RNAcentral. Lineage: Eukaryota; Metazoa; Chordata; Mammalia; Carnivora; Canidae.
ACUGAUGCUGGCACUCGCUGAGAGCCUUCUGCAGCCAGCAUCCAGAGAUGUCCAUCUGGUCCUUGGUCCCACAUCCACAGCGGUGACCCUCUAUCCCAAUUCACUGGCUAGUCAGUGGCUUCUCCACAUGCCGGGGGCGGGGGCAGGGAGGCUUCUCAGCUAUGUGGGGUCCAGGGGACUUGCUGGGGACUCCCUUAGCGGACACACCACAUCACUAUUUCUCCUUGGGAGCUGCUCCAUCCUCCUGGCCCAGGGGAAUUCUUCCAUAGGCAAAACCUGCAAAGUGAGGCAUGGGUCUUCAACCCCCCAUCCUGUCUGGGGUGGGGGGCACUUAUUUGUCCCCCAACCUCUCAUCUAAGGUCAGUGCGUUGGAGGAAGGGAGCAGCACUCAGGGCCCCUUCUUAGUCACACUUGUCACCCUCUCGUCAUCUUGCUUCCCUUCACCUCUUGUCUUUUCCUUUUUAAUCUCAUUUGAGUGGAAGAAUUCAAAAGUAGAGGACUGACUCAUUACUGCCAUAACCGCCCAAUCCUGAGGGCCAGCGAAUAGAAGGCUUUUGCUGUGGCUUGUAUUAGGGGUGGGAGGAAGGCAAAGGAAGCAAUAAAUGCCACGAAUGAAGCAGGAAUUUAGAAUUUAGAAUCUUGCCCUCAGAUACCUCUUGAGUCUCUCAUAUUAAGUUCAGCUUUUUCUGGCUUCAUUUCAUUUUUGUCUCUUACCUGGAUUGCUACAAUUUAAAAAAAAAAAUCUUGAAUUCUGAAUCUGGUUUGCAGAACCUUUCUUUAGUCCAUUUCUCCCAGCUUUAUUGACAUUUAACACAGAACAUUGUGUAAGUUGGGACGCCUCCGUGGCUCAGUGGUGGAGUGUCUACUGAGGGGAGCCUGCUUCCCCCUCUGCCUAUGUCUUUGCCUUUCUGUCUCUCAUAAAUAAAUAAAUCCUUUUUUUUAAAGAACAUUAUGUAGGGAUCCCUGGGUGGCUCAGUGGUUUAGCGCCUGUCUUUGGCCCAGGGCGCAAUCCUGGGGCCCCAGGAUCGAGUCCCACGUCAGGCUCCUAGCAUGGAGCCUGUCUCUCCCUCUGCCUGUAUCUUUGCCUCUCUAUGUCUAUCAUAAAUAAAUAAAAUAUUAAAAAAAGAACAUUAUGUAAGUUUAAGGUGUGCAGUGGGACGAUCUGAUACAUGUACUCAUUGUAAAAUGGUCACCACAAUAAGGUCAGUGAACACCCCCGUCGUCUCAUGUAGUCUUCAAUGGAUUCUUGAUAAUGUGGCCAGAGUGAUUUACCUGCUCUCAAGUGUAAAUCUAGUCAUGAUACUUCCGUCCUGCAAGGUUUCAGUGGCAUCCACCACCUUCAGUUGAAGUCAGAACCGCCAAGGACCCCAAGGCAAGGUCGCAGUCUGGAACGUGGCCAUCCCAUGUGCUCUGGAGCCCUAGCAAAACCACUGAUGGGCCCGUCAGGGCGUCAGGCUGAAUUUCAGUGUGUGGCUCUGAAGGAUAUGUCCUUUCCCCUGGGCUUUCCACCCAUCCACCUGAAUCAAGGUGGACAUCUACUCAUCCUUUCCAUUUUAGCUCAAAUGCCACCUCCUCAAAGACACUAACCCCCUCCUCUACCUGUUGAGCAGAAGCCAGGACUCCUUUCAUAGUGUCACUGUCUUACUGUUCCUGACUGAUGGCUGUGUCUGCCUCCUUCACUGGACCUUAGCUUUUUGAGGGUAGGGACUGUGUAUUAUCACGUUGGUGUUCUCAGUGCUUAGCUCAGUCCCUUGUGACACUGGAGGUGCUCAGAUGUUUGAAUAAACAGCCACUGGCAGGGGAUGCUAGCAGAAGCAAAGCCACCAUCGAGGUAACAAAAGGCUGCUGGCCAAAGAGGGAGGCACUGUCUGGAAAUACCCGUUUCAGUAUCUAUUUGUCCUUUCCCGCCCACUUUGAGGGCUACAAAGCACAGCACUUUGCCUUUUCAGUGGUCCCCUGCAGCUGUGCCGGCGCUCCGGGUGGCCGCGGAUGGGGGUGCUGUGCAACAGCGGUGGCCCCAGUCCCUCCGCAAAGGCUACCAUCUACACUGGGCAUCCUGGUUCCUACGGCAGGAAGCACGUUCAGUUACUACCACGUUCAAAGCACGGUGCUGGGUGUUGCUUGUAAUUUAGAAAGAGUUUUCGCAGGACCAGUUAAAACAUUUUUUUUUCCCUUGAGUUUUAGUUUUCAGGACAAUUUUUCCAUCUAGAGUUCAUUUUCACUGAGGAUAUAAGAGGCGCUGCGGUGGCAUUUGGUAACUGGGCACUAAUCUCCCUUGAAUAUCCCUAAUACUGUGGUUAGCAAAGGAGCCUCAAGUCAGGAAGAGGGUAGCAUGAGAAAGGAAAGAAAAUAUGGAAAUGCUUAAACAAACUGUGAUAUAUCCAUAAAAUAGAACACUCUGAAGGAGUUAAAAACAGUACUAACUCGGACAGAGCUUCCAAAGAGAUCUAAAACCAGCUAACUAUAGAACAAGACACACCGAUAAGAGAACUUAUGCACUCCUCCCCCCAAAACAAUUAGAUAUCUCUAUAAUCACAUAUUAUGUAUAAAUGCAUAUAAAUGUGCCCAAAGGGCAUAAUUUGUAGGAAUGGAACUGAAAGAUCAAGAGUGACUUUUCUAUCUGUAUUAAGAAUGUUUGCAAAAAGAAAUCACACAUAAAGGAGUAGCAUAAAGGUUUUUUUUUCCUGAAAAGGGACAGCAGGGAGAUAAAUAUUCAAAGAUGUAUACCAUUGUGAAAUGGAAAACAAUUUUCCUAGGUGAUAGGCUGUUAAAUAUUGGGAACUGAUAAAUUUUUGUACCUGUCUUCUUAAAAAAAGUCUGCAGUUCACAGUUU